Molecule: unclassified non-coding RNA, 218 nt
Filed under: Hevea brasiliensis (rubber tree)
Lineage: Eukaryota; Viridiplantae; Streptophyta; Magnoliopsida; Malpighiales; Euphorbiaceae
Source: RNAcentral
GGUCUUGUUCUUGGCUAUUCCCUUUGCUUGCUUUUGGUUCUUCUUGGCCUCCAUUAAAGGGUUGAAGCUGCUUGGGUUUGAUUUCUUGUUUUGGAGACGGUUGGGACAAACUUCCUCUUGGUGCGUCUUGGUCUAUCCUUGAGGAAUCACAACAUUUGAUAUCAAAGCUUUGGUGCUCUCCAAAACAGGUCUAUUUUGUCUCUUUUAGUGGGUUUCUU